GGCGCUAUAGCCAAGUGGUUACGGCGACAGAUUAGAAUUGAACCUAAUUCAAGUGGUAUCUGUUCCUCUUUGAGGGCAGGAGUUCGAAUCUCCUUGGCGUCG
Fomitopsis betulina (razor strop fungus) is the source of this 102-nucleotide non-coding RNA. The record is from the annotation of a GenBank genome assembly. NCBI's taxonomy places the organism in Eukaryota, Fungi, Basidiomycota, Agaricomycetes, Polyporales, Fomitopsidaceae.